Molecule: ribosomal RNA, 368 nt
Filed under: uncultured organism
Description: bacterial SSU rRNA
Rfam family: Bacterial small subunit ribosomal RNA
Source: RNAcentral
CGAAGGAUGCAAGCGUUAUCCGGAUUCAUUGGGUUUAAAGGGAGCGUAGGCGGACUUAUAAGUCAGUGGUGAAAUCUCUGGGCUUAACUCAGAAACUGCCAUUGAUACUGUAGGUCUAGAGUACAUUUGCUGUGGGCGGAAUAUGACAUGUAGUGGUGAAAUACUUAGAUAUGUCAUAGAACACCGAUUGCGAAGGCAGCUCACAAAAAUGUAACUGACGCUGAGGCUCGAAAGUGCGGGGAUCAAACAGGAUUAGAUACCCUGGUAGUCCGCACUGUAAACGAUGAUUACUCGCUGCUUGGGGGCAACCCUGAGUGGCUUAGCGAAAGCGAUAAGUAAUCCACCUGGGGAGUACGCCGGCAACGGUG